RNA transcript from Anthonomus grandis grandis, 3567 nucleotides. It is a transcript of the gene named ecdysone-induced protein 74EF, with no coding region annotated. The record is from RefSeq and is a predicted model, not a curated record. Lineage: Eukaryota; Metazoa; Arthropoda; Insecta; Coleoptera; Curculionidae. The transcript is spliced from 4 exons.
UUUAUAAAUAUGUGAGGUUAGAUUACCCAGAUUUACGUGACGCUGCUGACUAUUGGAAAUUAGUUAUUCCUAAGGAUAGGAGACACGAGGUUUUUGCAAGCUGCCACUGCUCGCCUUUAGGAGGUCAUUUAGGUGUCUAUAAGACUUAUGCCAAGAUAGGCAGAUUGUAUUAUUGGCCAGGGAUGAGGUCGACCGUGGUAAGGUUUGUGAGACAUUGUGUUACUUGUCAGAAAAUCAAACCUGAACAAAAGAAGCCAGCAGGCUUAAUGGUUUCUAAUUUGGUCCCUAAACGUUGUUGGCAGGUUGUGAGUAUGGAUUUAUUUGGUCCUUUGCCUAAGAGUAAACGUGGCAAUAUGUAUAUAUUUGUGGUCACUGAUGUAUUUAGUAAAUUUAAUCGUUUCUUUGCCAUUAGGAAGGCUAAUUCUGCUAAAAUAUGCAAUAUUCUUGAGGAACAUAUUUUUCUUUUUCAUGGAGUUCCAGAGGUUAUUAGGUGUGACAAUGGGGUACAGUUUAAGAGCAAAGAAUUUCAAAAUUUAGCAAAAAAAUAUGGAUCUAAAAUCAUGUAUAAUCCCAAUUAUCAUCCUUCUCCUAAUGUUACAGAGAGAGUCAAUAGAGUACUAAAAUCCAUGUUAACUGCUUUUGCUUCGGAAAAUCAUAGAAUAUGGGAUGAAAACCUAGCAGCUUUAGCUUGUGCAAUUAAUACAGCAACUCAUGAAGUUACAAGUAAAACGCCUUACUUUAUUAACUAUGGUACUGAAAUGAUUUUGCAUGCAUCAGAAUUUUUUCAAUAUAGGGACGUUAACCAAAAUAUAGUUUCUGAUCAAUCUCAGGAGAAUUCCAUUAAAAGGGUUGAAUCUUUAGGGAAGCUAAGGGAAUUUGUAUCGAAGAAAUUAUUACAAGCAGGCCAGAAAUCUAGGGAUCAAUAUAACUUAAGACGUCGAAAUGUAGAAUUCAAUAUUGGUGAUUUAGUUUGGAAAAGAUUGUAUGCAUUGUCAGAUGCAGGGAACUAUUUUACUGCUAAGUUGGCAGGUAAUUUUGAAGGUCCUUUUAGGGUAAAAAAUAAAGUGGGUUACUGCAUUUAUGAACUUGAGGAUAUGCAUGGGAAAUCAAAAGGAAAUUGGCAUGUGCAAGAUCUUAAACCUUAUUAUGAUGAAGUUGGAAACUAGCUACCUAUUUAAUUUAUUUUUUUUAUUUUCAUUGCCUAUUACUUAACUCAAUAGAUAAUUAAAUUUAAUUUGGAUGGUAGUGUAAUUAUUUUCUUCAUUGGCUAUACACCUAUAAAUUAGUAUUUAAAAAAAAAAAAAUUUUAGAAAAAAAUUUUUUUUGGGGGAAAAAGAGGGUAGCUGUUACAGGUUAAAAUUGGCAUUUUAUACUCUUUAUUAAAAGCACUGAUUACAGUUAUAUUUUCAAAAUAGAUAUUUUACAAAUAUUAAUGAUUGAUACUAGUAAUGCCCUCUCUGUAAUAGCCUCCCAAGUAAACCAUAGUUCUGUUCUCUAGCCAUUUCAAAUUACAGUAUUCUUUUUUUUUAAGGACACAUUUAGUUUUGUACAUUUCAGCUUCAUAUUGUACUGGUUGUUAAUGAAAUUUUAUUUAUACUCUUAUAAAACCCGGUUCUGGACUAAAGAAAUAUUUUAGAAUUUAAAUUAUAUCCCAUAUUGAUUAUUUAAUUAUUUUAUAACGAAUAAUGAUUAAUUGGGCAUGUACAAUUAUUGUGUAUGUUGUACUGUUCAUAGUACAAUAUCUGAUUUUGGCUUGACCAUACCAGAUAUGCUGGUUGAUUUUACUCGGACUGACCUAUCUAAUUUUUGUCUCUUUUUAUCUAAUGUAAAUAUUAGUUUUCUUGGAAGAUAGCAAGAAGUUGCUGGUCUAGGCAAAAUCGAAAUUGAUUGUCAUAGUGACACAUAUUUUCAUUGCCAACUUCCUUGGGCCACAAAUUUUGUUAUUUAUUUUUUAUAAAAGGUUUUAUGGUACUUAUAAAAAAAGUUAAGUUAUUUUGUUAUAUAUUUCGAUUGGCAAUACACCUUGUGCGUGAUUGCUUAAAUACGGGUUUGACCUCUGCGGUCGUUCCUUUUUCCAGACCGCCGUCAUGAAGUGAAGAGUGCUUUAGUUCUUUUUGAAAUUCGUCUGAAUUUUACCCAUAUGGGGAUAUAAUUGACUAAAUGUGGUGAUAGUAAAUCAACUUUUUGGGCGUAAUGCUAUAAUUUGUUGUUUUGUUGAAUUUACUAGCCUUUAUGGCGAUUUAAAACCUAAUAAUUUUUCACGUGCCCUCGAACAUCGGCAAAAUAGCGGUUCUGAUUGGCAUUGGCAGGGGACAAUUUAAUUAGCAAAGCUACAUAACAUGGAUUUUGAAUGGAUUUUUUUUGUACGGACCUGAUUUCUUCAUGCCACAUGGUGCUUUCGUUUUGGGGUUAUGUACUCUACUGGCUCUAAUCUAGAAGGAGAUUUUAAGCAACUGUGAGCUAACGUCUAACCUAGACCACUACCAGAGCUUGGCGUAUUGUGAAGUGGAAGAGGUGAAGCUUGGAAGCCUGCAGUUUUUCUUUGACUGGGAAUUGGAUGUCUGGGAGAGUCUCGAAUCUGAAGUAGUCUGCUGUGUGUGGAGCUAGCUACCCGAAACAUCCGAGGAUUGGCUUAAAGUAGCUCGCCAAUAUGAAGAAAAUUGGAAUUUUUCCCAUUGCCUCGGUGCCAUGGAUGGCAAGCAUAUACAAAUACAAGCACCAAUUCGCAGUGAAAGUAAUUAUUUUAAUUAUAAAUCAACAUUUAGCAUUGUCCUUUUUGCACUUGUCGAUGCUGAUUACAACUUUCUAUAUGCUGAUAUUGGAUGUCACGGAAGAAUUUCUGACGGAGGUGUUUUCAGAAAUGCAACUUUGUUUAAAAAACUCGAAGAAAAUUCUCUUAAUUUGCCAAAUCCAGAUGUUUUACCGUAUGUUUUCGUUGCUGAUGAAGCCUUCCCUUUAAAAGAUAAUAUUUUAAAACUAUACCCAGGCUCUCAUCAAAAUGGAUCUUCCAAACGAGUUUUUAAUUAUAGACUUUCUCGAGCGAGAAGAAUUGUUGAAAACGUAUUCGGUAUAUUAUCUGCGGUGUUUCGAGUUUUAAGGAAGCCAAUGUUGUUAGAACCACAUAAAGCAAAAAAUAUUGUUAUGGCAUGCAUUUACUUGCACAAUUAUUUGAGAAAAAAUCAAUCUUCGAAACAUGUGUAUAGUCCAAAUGGAAGUUUUGAAAUGGACAAAUAAUAGAAGGAUUAUGGCGAAAACAAUCCAAUAGUCAAACUAGUUAACCACCAUUCCAAAAGUGGCUCGAAAAUCGGCUACAGGUGCUGAACAGAUACGAACUGAGUUUGCCGAAUAUUUUACGUCCAACGGUGCUUUUCCUUGGCAAAAUGAUUAUGCAUAGAAAAGGUUUCACAUUCACAAAAUUCACAAAAACCUAUUUUUGCAAAAUUCAUGAAAAACUGCCUAUAAAAUUAGUACCUAUAUUAAUUAAGAAAUAAUAAAGAAGGUAACAGCUGCGAAACUUCAGAUAGCGAACAAUUUGUUCCGGAUAGUAAUUAUGAAUCAGCAAUCACA